UGCAAAAAUAUUACCAAAAGCAUGUAAUGAUUUUAAUGGAAUACUGAAACACUGUGGUAAUAUAAGUCUUUGUUAGAUGCAGAACUGGUUUUACUACAUGUAUCUAAAGGGAAGGCAAGCAGGCAACAAUAGCAUAUUUGGUUUGAAUUUAAGAUUCUUCAUUCAUUGUGGAGUCAUAUAAGCCAGAAAAAUAAUAUAAUUUGAUUUUAAAAGUCGGAGUCACAGCCCUGAAUUUGCACUGAUGCAGUUAUGAAGAGCUGGUCCAUUAUUACAUUUCUUCAGACUAUACACACUUUAGUAAUUUAGUAAUUAAAAUUACAUAGUAAUUAAAAUCACUACCCCAUAACAAUAUUUUUAUAACUACAGAUCCUGGAUUCCAUACGUGGAGGUUGACACCUCUAAAAGAUUUCCACAACUCCCAUCACUUUGUUGCUUAACACAAUUUCAGUCUGACUAAAAGCAGCGGAUGGCAGUGCCUCUGCUGAAGCCCGGCCUUGCAGCCACACAGAGAAACACAGAGGUGAAACGGCUGCUGUAAACCCAUUUGUCCAAAAUGGAAGGUGGCAUCCAUGCUGAGGAAGGAGAAAAUACAUUGAGGAAUAGCUGCCAUCUGCCUCAUGGCAAGGUUUGAACUGCUGCCGUCAGGAAAGCUGGCAGUGCUGCAAACAAGAAUGGCUUAUUUAUCCAGGAAGGAUGGGGUGAUGUGGAAGUGUACAUCCAGCAAACCACAGGGAAGACACACAUGUGCAGACACACACAAAGUUAGGGUAGCCACCACAAAGCACAAACCUUUGGAGCUCGAGACCUACAGCAGUUCUGUGCUUUCUCCCCAGGCAGCCUCAAAACUUUUCUGAGCACAACCGUAAUCUCAGUGACAUCCUAACAGGAGGAGGAAGAAGCGCCUCCAAGCCACAUGGCAACCUGCACCUUCAUCUGGCUUUGGCAGAAUCCCAGCAGUAUCAUCUGAAUGGUUCCAUAAUUACAACCACAACACAUUUUUCAGCCCCUACAGGUGCUGUCUCUUUUUCAUUAAUUAUAUGGGAGGGGAAGAGAUGACUGCAAAUACUGAAUUCUUUAGAGUUGUGGUUGUCAAGCAGCAUCUAUAUCUUUACAGAAAAUGUAGUUCUGCUUUUCAAAAGCAGCUAAAAUUUUGGUGGGGAUCCAGUACUGAAGUGCUCACAUUUGCCAUUUCAACUCAUUCCUUGAAACACAUUGCACAUAGGUGCUCUUUGUCAGAAAAGUUUUCAAACUGAUGCAGACAUUCCUUAUAAAUAUAGAUGGCUUCAUUGCAGAGAAAGAACAUUAAGAAUGCUUUUAUAAUGUCUAUUUAGGCUGCUUGCUUUUCUGCACUGGUCACAAAAGAAACAACAUCAUUUUGGAAGCCAUAAUGACAACAUACUGCAAAAUAGGGAAAAUUGUAACAUAGGAGGUAAGAAGUUUGUAAGAACCAGAGGCAAAGCUUCUUCUUGCAGGAAUGUGAAAGGUGGGUUUUGUUGAAUGACUCCUUUAAAUGCAGGUGAAAUGGCUGUCAGCUCCCAGGUCACACGCUCAACACAAACGUAAUUUUAUGUUAUAAAGUUAUAAUACCGGCCUCUUUUGGAGCCAGACUUAAUCGGCAAAAUGCAGCAUGAGGCUUAUCACACAACCUGACAGAUACUUGAAGCAUUGCUGUCUUGCAUUUUCAGAAUGGUCUCCUGGAGGCUUUUCUACAUAAAUAGAACCAACCUGACCAAAAAUGUAUUUUAAAAAUAAGUUUGAAGCCUGCCUUUUCAUGAAGUUGUUUUUUUUAAUAAACGAUACUAAAACCUGUGUGAAAAGGUAGAAAGUAUUGAAAGUUUGAAAGUAUUUUAGGUUGUACUUCCCUUUGGUAAGGCUACCUCAAUUUUUUUACCAUUCAGGAUGAAGUCUAAGCACUCAUAGGUAUAUAGAAAGUUCUGACUGUCUUUACAGUUAUUAGAGGGUUGUCUGUGUCUAUAGUUAUUUUUACACAAUUUGCUAUUUCAAAAGAAGUUGCCUGUAAAUCCAAUUAGGUGGGGCAAACAGAAUUUUGUUGGUCUGUGGUGACUCAUUUAUGAGAGAAACAGCUCAAAUUAGAUUGUGUGAAAGACAUUGUUUUUUGGUAUGGACACUGGUUAUAUUUAAAUGAUGUUUGACAAGGACUUCUGUAAUCACUUGGAAUCUCACCCUGUUGCCAGAUUCAGCACAAUGCAUCCUAUGAAUCCUUGUUGACAGUUCUUUCCAGGCUACCUACAGAUCUCAUUUAUUCUGUGGCCUUGAUAUUGCUUAGGAUGCCUAGGAUUACUUAGAAUGAGGAUGCAUUCUUGGUUGUGUUUUAUGCCUGAUGGUUUUCCUUGGUUUUAGUCUGUAAUUUUGGCAGCCCAGCAGCUGCUUCAUCAACUAGCCUCAUAAUGGAGGCAGAAACAUCUGAACUAGGGGCACACAUCCAGCUGUGAACAGCAUCUUCUGUAGCCACACCAGUGUAACCUGCUGGAACCAGAGCACUAAGAGAAACAAGAUAAAUGGCUAUUGUACUUUAAAUUCACACCUGGGUUGCUUGUUCUGUGACAGCUUCUUCAUGCAGAUGACAGGAAUGGACCCUGGCCAGUUUUCAUUUGCUGAAGGAACGUUUUGCUCCUGGGGACUUGAAUGGGUCUGCCUCCAUUAGCAGUUAAGAGCACAACAUAAAUGUUUCUGUGAUGUGAAUUGCUCUUGCCUGUGAAUCUUUUACAUUUGAUGUUCUUUAAGUUACAUCACUAAAAGCCUUUGGAAGACAGGACCUAGAUUUCGUCCUGUAGAAGCUUAGCUGGAAAUUGCACACUAGGGGUUUUUCUAACACACCCCAAAGGUAAUGGGAACAUGUAAUCUUUGGGCUGUUGAGAAAGAAUACAGAGGCUGAUCUGUUAUUUGAAUUGUACUCCAAUAUCAAUUCUUCCUUUAUCCUGAGUAAGAGCAAUACCAACACAAAGGUGAACUUGUAAAGCUCUUCAUGGCUGAGACUUCUGUAGAAGUGCUAGGAUGUCCUUUUUUUAUCUGAGCAACAUGAUGAGACUUUUAAAACUGUAAAGAGAGGGACUUUCCAAAAUGCCUGUGUUGUUGGUAUGGUGUAAGAGCCUUCCAAAAGAGUUAGCUAAUCCUCAGUGAGUCACGUUUUUAACGGAAUUCUGUUUUAAAUAAAUUAUCUUCUACACUUUCUCCACUCUGGGGUAUAUGCUGAGUGACUAUAAUACUUGAUGUUCUGGUAUUUCAAGUUACCAGGUCAUCUGUGAAUGUUUCUGAGACUCCUCUUCCUAUAGAACCUAGCACCUAAAUGAAGGUAACAAGCAAAUGGCUAUAGUCUGAAGUCUUCUUUUGCUGAUGGAGAUUGCUGAAUUCACAUGUGCUUGCUGGGUAUCAGAGAUUACUGUUGCAAAAAAAAUCAGAUCAUUAAUUGUAUCUGGUUCGGACUUUGAAGGAUUUCUUAACAAACAGCAAGACUAUAUUUUAAAUGAUAUAUUCUCAAAGAAAAUAAGAUGUUGAUGCAAAUGCAUCCUCUCACAAGCCACAGGUAAAUUGGCCUGUAGCAUCUCAAGCUAGUGCUCAUCAGAAUAUCACUUUCAAGAAAGGACAUUUCUCUAAGAGUAACUGGAGGGAAAUUGAGUCCAGUUCCAUUACCUUUUGUAACUGAAGAGAACUGAAUCAUCUGUUUCUUGUCAAACCACCCACUUUGUGUAGUCACUUGUGAACAGUUUGUAUGCUAAGAGAAAAAAUGGCACUUUGCAUUAUAUAGGGUGUUAAAUCUACUAUGUCAGAGGUUUGUUUAAGUCCUCUUGCCACCUGGUUUCAAUGUGGAGAUGAAAAAGGACUUAUCUUCCAGCCAUUUUGGCACAGGAUAGCCUCUGCUAGAGUGCCACAGAGAUCCUGUAAUUCACAGGAUACCUUCCAAAAUUAAUCAAGGGACCUAACCUGCACUGCAAGUUUUGAGCCAUCCAUCUUUGAAUAGUUGAGAAAGAAGUUACUGCCUGCCGACAAAACCUUAGGGCAGAGCGAGGUAAUAAAGAACUGGUCUUUAAGUCAGGUUUUGAUCUUGAUACUGUGUGGUUCCUGGCUCACAAUUCAGUAUUUUAAUUGCAAAAUAAUACUUUGUGAUUGAUGAGUGCAUAUGUGGCAACUUUAACCAAGUAUUGAUUAUUUUGAAAAAAUGCACAUGAUUUGUUGUACGUGAUGGGGGGGCGACCCUAAUGAAUCACAGAAGAAAAACAUAAAUUGAAACUUAGGUUGGAUGUUUGUCUUUCUAGAUUCCACAAGAUUGAUUUUAAGUCUAGAAGCUCAGUGAAGAUAAUGAAGAUAUGAGACUGUACUUUCACAAAGGUUGUUUGACUUAUACUAGUGAACCUGAACUGUAGUAUUUGCAGAUUUCCUGUAAGUAAAAAGUGUAAAUUUUUACCAAGUAAAAGAACCAAGUACCAGUAAAUGGGAAGUGACUGAGUAAAUACAGCAUUUAGAGACUGAAAACAGAACAGAUGAAUAAAAUAUUUUUUUCUAAAGCUCUCAAUGUGUUUAAAACAACAAGUGAUAAUAUAAGGGUAGUCUGUGAUCAGAAAAAUAAUUUUAAAGUGAUAUUUACUAUGGUCUAAAAAUUGAAGUAAUAGAAACCAAGAGGAGGAAAGGGCACAUACCAGGAACACAUUUUAAUCCAAUCAGCCAGUUAGGUAAUCAAUUAAACAACACAACAAGAGCAAACAGAUCAAUGGUUCUGUCUUCAAAUGAAAACAAAUGUGCUUACUUACCAACAUUUGCAUCUUUAAGAUAAGCAUAACCUCCUUUCAUGCCAGCUAAAAUUGUUGAUGUUGCCUCUUUUUUCCCUAAAUAAUUACUUUUACAUUCACUUGUGUUGCCCUUACGUGACCUUGAGCAGAAAGACUUGCUGUCAGAAAGGAGUCACCUGUUGAUACCAUGCAGCUUUUGUGAGCACAUCCCACAGUAGGAGAUACGUUCACAGAACUCAUUCUCCUUCACCCUGAAGUCACAGAUUAAAUCUACCAUAAUUGGAAUUAAAUAGAAUUAAUUUAUCAUGAUUGCUUUUCCAUAGCUUCUUAUCUGUCAGGGACAGUUCCUAAUGGAUGAGUGCCUUUGUGGCAGCUAGACUACUAAUGGCAUGUUCAGGUUGUUUUAUGAGUGGUGGAAGGAGCCACCACAUUCAAUAGGACUAGUCCACUACAGUCACAGGAGAUCCUGUGGUAUGGGUGUACUUCACAAGCAUCCACAAAUCAUUCCACUUUGCGUGCAACUGUGAGCUUGCUGCACUUAAAACUGAACUGAACUAGACUUGAAGUAGGAGGUCAGAAAGCAUAAUGCAGGAGAAGACUUCUUAGGAAGGACUGUUUCAGUGUGGAAUAAAAGUACCUCUUGUAGUAUUAAAGGACUUUUUUCUUUAAAAUAAAGGAGGAAGACCUCAGGAAAGAGGGAAAUGCAGUGCUACUUCCUGAUCCAUUUCCAGAAUGAGGCCAAGAAAGCUCUAUUCCCAGAGUUUGAACUGAAACUUCUAGCAACCCUACAUUUAAUAUUAACAGUAACUUUGCUGCUUGUACUGGUAAAUUCAACAGGAAGACUUCCAGUCAUAAAGCCUUUGCUAUGUGGAUAUGGUUCUUUUUAGCCUUGAGCUGUGUGAAGCAGCGUCCUGGGCUUAAAACGCAACAAGCAGGCAUAAAAUGCUCUUGUUCUGCCUUGUGUACAAGUAAGCAGUAACACAUUAUAUACAGUAAAGGCAAGAAAAAAACAGGUUUGUCAUUCUCAAGUUUGAGAAAUCUUGGGAAUGCUUCUGAAAUCAUACUUCUUGUGAAACAACUUGUUGCAAGAAGUAUAACUGAUAUGAUUGAUGGUUAUGGUGAUACUGGCUGCAAUAAAUUAACCCCCUCAGGGGUUCAUUUACCCCAGGGAAGAAAACCAGCUGGAGCCACAGCUGCACUGGCAGCAGAUGUCACAGCCAUAAUGCUCAUUGCCCUUAGGUGUAAGAUAUAUGGGAAAAAACUAUUUACAUGGAAAAGCAAAACACUAGUAUAAGGCUGGCUGAGCUCUGGAGACUGACGGCUAGUAUCCAUAGCUGAAGGUCAGGUGAAACACAGUUCAACUUUCUGGGUUUAAUAAAUGUAAUAGUAGGCUUAGCUGAUAUGCAAAUCUAUUGGUUCUGCAAAACACAAGUGAAAAUUUAAAACCAAAUCUUUAUUGCAAGACUUUGUUUUCCUAUUAUUGUGAAAGAACAUGAAUAAGCUUCUCUGAAUAUGUAAGCACUGUGAAAAUGCAUGGUACUCUAAGUCAAACAUGUCUUCAGUGCCUCAUUGUUUGCAUUCAAUUACAGUUUAUAGUAACUGGACAAAAAAAGUUAAUUGCAAAAUCAUCUUCAAAUUCUCUUCCCUGCUCCCCACAUGAAAAAGCUGCCUUUGUUUAAUCUUCAGGUUUGGUUUGCAACUUAGAAGUCACAAGGAAAACCAGAGUUUUCAGUGGGGCAUUUUGCUGAUAGGGGAAUGCAAGAAUACGCAUUGUAAUUUUUCUGGCUGGCAGUAGGCAAGUGUAAAGGUUAAUGGGAUCCAAAGGCACUCUGAAUUCUGGGAAGGCUGGUGAGAGACUCAGCUUACUGCAAUUCACAGCAGCUGUGGGAUGUGAGAGAGCUGGUAUUUUCUCAACCUGCUUUCUUGUCACUUGGGUUUUAGCUGCUUUGCAAAGGCCAAGUUCCAGUGAUUGCUGUCCUCACCUAUCCUUGGCAUUAUGUCUUACUGAUAAAACUGUUAGAAAGAAGCCAAGCUGCUGUGUUCUGCCUGCAGUUGCAUGGUCCAGGUCAGGGCUCAGAAGAGAAAUUCACUUGGCACUCAAAGGAGCAGUAUGUGGAGUUCAUUACUUGCUAUGAGUCACCCACCCAAGCUGCCACAGAGAAGAUCUUUUGUAUUUUCUGCCUGCUCCUGGCUCUUGUUGCUGUUGUGAGACAGGAAAAACAAAGCAUCCUUUGACUCUGUUUUUAUUUUAAGAUGUAUUUUCUCCUCUUCC
Pezoporus occidentalis (night parrot) is the source of this 7017-nucleotide long non-coding RNA. RefSeq lists it as uncharacterized. The record is from RefSeq and is a predicted model, not a curated record. The transcript is spliced from 3 exons. Lineage: Eukaryota; Metazoa; Chordata; Aves; Psittaciformes; Psittacidae.